AACGCACAUUGCGCCCCUUGGUAUUCCAUGGGGCAUGCCUGUUCGAGCGUCAUUUGUACCUUCAAGCUAUGCUUGGUGUUGGGCGUUUUGUCUGGAACAGACUCGCCUCAAAUGUAUUGGCAGCCAGUCUUUUGGUAUUAGAGCGCAGCACAUUUGCGUUUCUCCUAUCUUAGAAUUGGACACCAUGAAGUCUACAUUUCAACGUUUGACCUCGGAUCAGGUAGGGAUACCCGCUGAACUUAA
RNAcentral lists this unclassified non-coding RNA (243 nucleotides) under uncultured fungus. Its description in RNAcentral is "partial contains 5.8S ribosomal RNA, internal transcribed spacer 2, and large subunit ribosomal RNA". The record is from RNAcentral. Lineage: Eukaryota; Fungi.